Molecule: non-coding RNA, 24 nt
Filed under: Arabidopsis thaliana (thale cress)
Lineage: Eukaryota; Viridiplantae; Streptophyta; Magnoliopsida; Brassicales; Brassicaceae
Source: RNAcentral
GUAUCAGGUGAUGUGGCAGCACAC